AAGAAGCUGUGAGUCUGUUCAGCAGGAGGAAGAGGAGCUGAGAGCUUCAGGGAGGAGCUGAGCUGUUACUGAACUAUAGAAGAGACACAAACUUCCACAUUCAACACAGUUCAAACAUUAACUCUGAUCAUCAUGCUGUCUUUGCUCACAUCUGGAUUUACUCUGCUGGUUCUGCUUAUAGGAACAGGUGUAAACUGUCAGCAACUCACUGCAGCAAAGACUGAAGAGUUCAGUCUAGAAGGCAGCUCUGUUACUCUGUCCUACACUUACUCCAAGAAAGCAGAUGGGGGUGAUUAUUUCUUCUGGUAUCGACAAUAUCCUGGACAACCUCCAGAGUUCCUGAUCUCUCACUUAGGAACAGGACAAGAAACCUCUCAGAAGGUUCCUGGUUUUUCCUUCAAAGUGAGUGAUGAUAAAACCCAGAUGGACCUGCUGAUCUCCUCUGCUGAGCUGACAGACUCUGCUGUGUACUACUGUGCUGUGAAGCCCACAGUGACAGGAAACACCAGAACUCUGUACAAGAACCUGCAAUACUCCACAGCAUCCACUAGAGGGCCUCACACACUUCAUUAUACUGAAUUAUGUCUCCACUUGAGCCUUAGAGCUUUUCUAAGAGCAGAAAUGAUGUCAUUGUGA
Non-coding RNA from Cyprinodon tularosa, 636 nucleotides. The record is from the annotation of a RefSeq genome assembly. NCBI's taxonomy places the organism in Eukaryota, Metazoa, Chordata, Actinopteri, Cyprinodontiformes, Cyprinodontidae.